Molecule: ribosomal RNA, 468 nt
Filed under: uncultured bacterium
Lineage: Bacteria
Description: partial 16S ribosomal RNA
Rfam family: Bacterial small subunit ribosomal RNA
Source: RNAcentral
GACGAACGCUGGCGGCGUGCUUAACACAUGCAAGUCGAACGGAAAGGCCCUGCUUUUGUGGUGUUCUCGAGUGGCGAACGGGUGAGUAACACGUGAGUAACCUUCCCUUGACUUUGGGUUAACUUCAGGAAACUGGGGCUAAUACCGGAUCGGAGCUCCUGCUGCAUGGUGGGGGUUGGAACGUUUCGGCGGUUGGGGAUGGACUCGCGGCUUAUCAGCUUGUUGGUGGGGUAGUGGCUUACCCAGGCUUUGACGGGUAGCCGGCCUGAGAGGGUGACCGGCGACAUUGGGACUGAGAGACGGCCCAGAGUCCUACGGGAGGCAGCAGGGGGAAAUAUUGCACAAUGAGCGGAAGCCUGAUGCAGAAACGCCGCGGGCGGGAUGACGGCCUUCGGGUUAUAAAAAGCUUUCGCCUGUGACGAAGCGUGAGUGAAGGUAAUGGGUAAAGAAGCACCGGCUAACUACGUG